UUAGGUCAAGCUACAAAGGGCGCAUGGUGAAUGCCUUGGCAUCAGGAGCCGAUGAAGGACGCGAUAAGCUGCGAUAAGCUUCGGGUAGACGCACAUAGUCAGAGAUCCGAAGAUUUCCGAAUGAGGAAACUCACAUGGGAAACCCCAUGUAUCAUAAAGUGAAUACAUAGCUUUAUGAAGGUAUACCCAGGGAACUGAAACAUCUAAGUACCUGGAGGAAGAGAAAGAAAAAUCGAUUUUCUUAGUAGCGGCGAGCGAAAAGGAAAGAGCCCAAACCAGAGAUUUAUCUCUGGGGUUGCGGACAGAACAUAACGAGAAAUCAUAGUUAAUUGAACACAACUGGAAAGUUGGACCACAGUGGGUAAUAGUCCCGUAAGUGAAAACUAUGAUAAUCAGUUCUGCACCAGAGUACCACGAGACACGUGAAACCUUGUGGGAAGCAGGGAGGACCACCUCCCAAGGCUAAAUACUACCUGAUGACCGAUAGUGAAGCAGUACCGUGAGGGAAAGGUGAAAAGAACCCCGGGAGGGGAGUGAAAUAGAACCUGAAACCAUGUGCCUACAACCGAUCAGAGCACCUUAUGUGUGUGAUGAUGUGCUUUUUGUAGAACGAGCCAACGAGUUACGGUAUGUAGCGAGGUUAAGUACUUAAGGUACGGAGCCGAAGGGAAACCGAGUCUUAAUAGGGCGACUAGUUGCAUGCUGUAGACCCGAAACCGGGUGACCUAUCCAUGGCCAGGUUGAAGCGAGGGUAAAACCUCGUGGAGGACCGAACCACGUUGCUGUUGAAAAAGCAUGGGAUGAGCUGUGGAUAGCGGAGAAAUUCCAAUCGAACUCGGAUAUAGCUGGUUCUCCUCGAAAUAGCUUUAGGGCUAGCGUCGGAAAAUGUGAGUAGUGGAGGUAGAGCACUGAAUAGGCUAGGGGGCAUAGCGCUUACCGAACCUUAUCAAACUCCGAAUGCCACAUACUAUCAGUCCGGCAGUCAGACUAUGAAAGAUAAGUUCCAUGGUCAAAAGGGAAACAGCCCAGAUCGUCAGCUAAGGUCCCAAAGUGUAAGUUAAGUGGAAAAGGAUGUGGGAUUUCUAAGACAACUAGGAUGUUGGCUUAGAAGCAGCCACUCAUUAAAAGAGUGCGUAAUAGCUCACUAGUCAAGAGAUCCUGCGCCGAAAAUGUCCGGGGCUCAAACUUACCACCGAAGCUACGGGUUCACGCUUAUGCGUGAGCGGUAGAGGAGCGUCGUAAUCGGGCUGAAGUCGUACCGUAAGGAGCGGUGGACUGAUUACGAGUGAGAAUGUUGGCAUUAGUAGCGAGAUGUAGGCGAGAAUCCUACAGGCCGAAUAUCUAAGGUUUCCUGAGUAAAGUUUGUCUUCUCAGGGUUAGUCGGGACCUAAGGCGAGGCCGAAAGGCGUAGUCGAUGGACAAUUGGUUGAUAUUCCAAUACCACUAUAAUCGUUAUUAUCGAUGGUGUGACGGAGAAGGAUAGGAUGUGCUAGCUAUUGGAUGCUAGUCUAAGCGUUUAGGGAGUUGGGAUUGGCAAAUCCGUUCCAACAAUUCUGAGGCGUGAUGGGGAAGGUUCUACGGAACCGAAGUAUCUGAUUCCAUGCUUCCAAGAAAAGCAUCUAGAGAGAGAAGUAGUGCCCGUACCGCAAACCGACACAGGUAGAUGAGGAGAGAAUCCUAAGGCCGACGGAAGAAUUGCAGUUAAGGAACUAGGCAAAUUGACCCCGUAACUUCGGGAGAAGGGGUGCCUGAGAAAUCAGGCCGCAGAGAAUAGGCACAAGCAACUGUUUAACAAAAACACAGGUCUCUGCUAAAGCGAAAGCUGAUGUAUAGGGGCUGACGCCUGCCCGGUGCUGGAAGGUUAAGGGGAACACUUAGCGAAAUAUCGCGAAGGUGUGAACUUAAGCCCCAGUAAACGGCGGCCGUAACUAUAACGGUCCUAAGGUAGCGAAAUUCCUUGUCAGGUAAGUUCUGACCCGCACGAAUGGCGUAAUGACUUGUGCACUGUCUCAACUGCAAAUCCGGCGAAGUUGUAGUGCGAGUGAAGAUGCUCGCUACCCGCGAUUGGACGGAAAGACCCCGUAGAGCUUUACUGUAGCUUAGCAUUGAAUUUCGGUAUUGUCUGUACAGGAUAGGUGGGAGACUGGGAAACUAGGGCGUCAGCCUUGGUGGAGUCGUUGUUGGGAUACCACCCUGAUAGUAUUGAAGUUCUAACUGGAUGCCAUGAAACUGGUGACAGGACAUUGUUAGGUGGGCAGUUUGACUGGGGCGGUCGCCUCCUAAAAUGUAACGGAGGCGCCCAAAGGUUCCCUCAGAACGGUCGGAAAUCGUUCGAAGAGUGUAAAGGCAGAAGGGAGCCUGACUGCGACACCUACAAGUGGAGCAGGGACGAAAGUCGGGCUUAGUGAUCCGGUGGUACCUCGUGGGAGGGCCAUCGCUCAACGGAUAAAAGCUACCUCGGGGAUAACAGGCUGAUCUCCCCCAAGAGUUCACAUCGACGGGGAGGUUUGGCACCUCGAUGUCGGCUCGUCGCAUCCUGGGGCUGAAGUAGGUCCCAAGGGUUGGGCUGUUCGCCCAUUAA
This 2581-nucleotide ribosomal RNA is filed under the name Parabacteroides distasonis. Its description in RNAcentral is "partial 23S ribosomal RNA". It matches the Rfam family "Bacterial large subunit ribosomal RNA", at positions 1 to 2591 of the family's 2925-position model. Lineage: Bacteria; Pseudomonadati; Bacteroidota; Bacteroidia; Bacteroidales; Tannerellaceae. The record is from RNAcentral.